This 2921-nucleotide ribosomal RNA is filed under the name Salmonella enterica. RNAcentral's name for it is "bacterial LSU rRNA". It matches the Rfam family "Bacterial large subunit ribosomal RNA". The record is from RNAcentral. Lineage: Bacteria; Pseudomonadati; Pseudomonadota; Gammaproteobacteria; Enterobacterales; Enterobacteriaceae.
GGGUUGUGAGGUUAAGCGACUAAGCGUACACGGUGGAUGCCCUGGCAGUCAGAGGCGAUGAAGGACGUGCUAAUCUGCGAUAAGCGCCGGUAAGGUGAUAUGAACCGUUAUAACCGGCGAUUUCCGAAUGGGGAAACCCAGUGUGACUCGUCACACUAUCAUUAACUGAAUCCAUAGGUUAAUGAGGCGAACCGGGGGAACUGAAACAUCUAAGUACCCCGAGGAAAAGAAAUCAACCGAGAUUCCCCCAGUAGCGGCGAGCGAACGGGGAGGAGCCCAGAGCCUGAAUCAGCAUGUGUGUUAGUGGAAGCGUCUGGAAAGGCGCGCGAUACAGGGUGACAGCCCCGUACACAAAAGCGCAUAUGCUGUGAGCUCGAUGAGUAGGGCGGGACACGUGGUAUCCUGUCUGAAUAUGGGGGGACCAUCCUCCAAGGCUAAAUACUCCUGACUGACCGAUAGUGAACCAGUACCGUGAGGGAAAGGCGAAAAGAACCCCGGCGAGGGGAGUGAAAAAGAACCUGAAACCGUGUACGUACAAGCAGUGGGAGCACCCUUUUGGGUGUGACUGCGUACCUUUUGUAUAAUGGGUCAGCGACUUAUAUUCUGUAGCAAGGUUAACCGAAUAGGGGAGCCGGAGGGAAACCGAGUCUUAAUUGGGCGUUAAGUUGCAGGGUAUAGACCCGAAACCCGGUGAUCUAGCCAUGGGCAGGUUGAAGGUUGGGUAACACUAACUGGAGGACCGAACCGACUAAUGUUGAAAAAUUAGCGGAUGACCUGUGGCUGGGGUGAAAGGCCAAUCAAACCGGGAGAUAGCUGGUUCUCCCGAAAGCUAUUUAGGUAGCGCCUCGUGAAUUCAUCUCCGGGGUAGAGCACUGUUUCGGCUAGGGGGCCAUCCCGGCUUACCAACCCGAUGCAAACUGCGAAUACCGGAGAAUGUUAUCACGGGAGACACACGGCGGGUGCUAACGUCCGUCGUGAAGAGGGAAACAACCCAGACCGCCAGCUAAGGUCCCAAAGUCAUGGUUAAGUGGGAAACGAUGUGGGAAGGCCCAGACAGCCAGGAUGUUGGCUUAGAAGCAGCCAUCAUUUAAAGAAAGCGUAAUAGCUCACUGGUCGAGUCGGCCUGCGCGGAAGAUGUAACGGGCUAAACCAUGCACCGAAGCUGCGGCAGCGACGCUUAUGCGUUGUUGGGUAGGGAGCGUUCUGUAAGCCUGUGAAGGUGGCCUGUGAGGGUUGCUGGAGGUAUCAGAAGUGCGAAUGCUGACAUAAGUAACGAUAAAGCGGGUGAAAAGCCCGCUCGCCGGAAGACCAAGGGUUCCUGUCCAACGUUAAUCGGGGCAGGGUGAGUCGACCCUAAGGCGAGGCCGAAAGGCGUAGUCGAUGGGAAACGGGUUAAUAUUCCCGUACUUGGUGUUACUGCGAAGGGGGGACGGAGAAGGCUAUGUUGGCCGGGCGACGGUUGUCCCGGUUUAAGCGUGUAGGUGUGUGUUCCAGGUAAAUCCGGUUCACUUUAACACUGAGGCGUGACGACGAGGCACUACGGUGCUGAAGCAACAAAUGCCCUGCUUCCAGGAAAAGCCUCUAAGCAUCAGGUAACACGAAAUCGUACCCCAAACCGACACAGGUGGUCAGGUAGAGAAUACCAAGGCGCUUGAGAGAACUCGGGUGAAGGAACUAGGCAAAAUGGUGCCGUAACUUCGGGAGAAGGCACGCUGACACGUAGGUGAAGUGAUUUACUCAUGGAGCUGAAGUCAGUCGAAGAUACCAGCUGGCUGCAACUGUUUAUUAAAAACACAGCACUGUGCAAACACGAAAGUGGACGUAUACGGUGUGACGCCUGCCCGGUGCCGGAAGGUUAAUUGAUGGGGUCAGCGCAAGCGAAGCUCCUGAUCGAAGCCCCGGUAAACGGCGGCCGUAACUAUAACGGUCCUAAGGUAGCGAAAUUCCUUGUCGGGUAAGUUCCGACCUGCACGAAUGGCGUAAUGAUGGCCAGGCUGUCUCCACCCGAGACUCAGUGAAAUUGAACUCGCUGUGAAGAUGCAGUGUACCCGCGGCAAGACGGAAAGACCCCGUGAACCUUUACUAUAGCUUGACACUGAACAUUGAGCCUUGAUGUGUAGGAUAGGUGGGAGGCUUUGAAGUGUGGACGCCAGUCUGCAUGGAGCCGGCCUUGAAAUACCACCCUUUAAUGUUUGAUGUUCUAACGUGGACCCGUGAUCCGGGUUGCGGACAGUGUCUGGUGGGUAGUUUGACUGGGGCGGUCUCCUCCUAAAGAGUAACGGAGGAGCACGAAGGUUGGCUAAUCCUGGUCGGACAUCAGGAGGUUAGUGCAAUGGCAUAAGCCAGCUUGACUGCGAGCGUGACGGCGCGAGCAGGUGCGAAAGCAGGUCAUAGUGAUCCGGUGGUUCUGAAUGGAAGGGCCAUCGCUCAACGGAUAAAAGGUACUCCGGGGAUAACAGGCUGAUACCGCCCAAGAGUUCAUAUCGACGGCGGUGUUUGGCACCUCGAUGUCGGCUCAUCACAUCCUGGGGCUGAAGUAGGUCCCAAGGGUAUGGCUGUUCGCCAUUUAAAGUGGUACGCGAGCUGGGUUUAGAACGUCGUGAGACAGUUCGGUCCCUAUCUGCCGUGGGCGCUGGAGAACUGAGGGGGGCUGCUCCUAGUACGAGAGGACCGGAGUGGACGCAUCACUGGUGUUCGGGUUGUCAUGCCAAUGGCACUGCCCGGUAGCUAAAUGCGGAAGAGAUAAGUGCUGAAAGCAUCUAAGCACGAAACUUGCCCCGAGAUGAGUUCUCCCUGAGACUUAGAGUCUCCUGAAGGAACGUUGAAGACGACGACGUUGAUAGGCCGGGUGUGUAAGCGCAGCGAUGCGUUGAGCUAACCGGUACUAAUGAACCGUGAGGCUUAACCUUACAACGCCGAAG